Lolium rigidum is the source of this 752-nucleotide long non-coding RNA. RefSeq lists it as uncharacterized. Lineage: Eukaryota; Viridiplantae; Streptophyta; Magnoliopsida; Poales; Poaceae. The record is from RefSeq and is a predicted model, not a curated record. The transcript has 3 exons.
GUUUUUAAUCUCAGCUAUACAAUAUUGUGCAUGUUAAGCGCCAUGCCAAUGGUUCUGAUAUAUCUAUUGUUGUGCAUCCGGCUAACUAAUAAUGUUGUAUUUUUGUAUUUUCAGGAUACAUCUCGCACAGAGGAGAUCAAAAGGUCCAGGUCAUUGUUUUGCUAUGUAUCUGUGGCGUAUGCUCAAACUUUUUCUCAUAACGAUUGUUGGGGGUGUGAACUUAUUAGUGGUUUAUGUUGGAAGCUAGCGAGUUCUCUGAUAAUUUUUCUGAACUGGUGUCUUUUGGCUGAAGUAAUUCCAAUGCGAGAACUGAGCUAAACUUCAUGUUGUACUCAUUGGCAUCAGAGCCGUGUUACGGAAACUGAGUCAUCAUCACAUCAUUUCCAGGAUGGAUGUAGGAGCUUGAGAAAUGCAGUAGACUUGAAAACGUUGCUGAACUUUUGAAGGACGUUCGAGUGGGUUUGCUUAAGAGUGUUUCUGCAUCAGAGGAAACAACAACCGGUUGUCCAAACAAGUAAUUAGUCAAGGAGCUCAAGUCUAGAGGAAAAUAACUUAGGAUAUUGCCACAAUAUCUUGCUGAAGUUGAUCACGUGUAUAUUAGAUAUUUCCAACAAGAGUGCACCAUAUAUGAGGAAAAUGCUUAACCCUUGAUUAUGAGAGUGCUUGACUAUAGAUGGCAGGAGUGUUGAACCGGGAUUUAGUAACAUGUUGUCAUUUCCAGUCAGGCAACUAUGGGCUUCACUCCUUUGUUU